This 73-nucleotide transfer RNA is filed under the name Paramuricea clavata. It matches the Rfam family "tRNA". From Rfam's summary of the family: Transfer RNA (tRNA) molecules are approximately 80 nucleotides in length. Lineage: Eukaryota; Metazoa; Cnidaria; Anthozoa; Malacalcyonacea; Plexauridae. The record is from Rfam by way of RNAcentral.
GACCACGUAGCUCAGUUGGUAGAGCAUUGGGCUAGUAUUCCAAAGGUCGCAGGUUCGAUUCCCACCGUGGCCG